GACGAACGCUGGCGGUGGGCCUAACACAUGCAAGUCGAACGGAAAGGCCCUACUAGCUUGGGGUUCUCGAGUGGCAAUCGGGUGAGUAACACGUAUGUAACGUGCUCUUGUUUUUCGUAUAAGUUCAGGAAACUGGGGUUAAUAUCGGAUAGGAUCUCCUGUUGCAUUGAGGGGGUUGGAACGUUUCGGCGGUUGGGGAUGGACUCGCGGCUUAUCAGCUUGUUGGUGGGGUAGUGGCUUACCAAGGCUUUGACGGGUAGCCGGCCUGAGAGGGUGACCGGCCACAUUGGGACUGAGAUACGGCCCAGACUCCUACGGGAGGCAGCAGUGGGGAAUAUUGCACAAUGGGCGGAAGCCUGAUGCAGCAACGCCGCGUGCGGGAUGACGGCCUUCGGGUUGUAAACCGCUUUCGCCUGUGACGAAGCGUGAGUGACGGUAAUGGGUAAAGAAGCACCGGCUAACUACGUG
This 468-nucleotide ribosomal RNA is filed under the name uncultured bacterium. RNAcentral's name for it is "partial 16S ribosomal RNA". It matches the Rfam family "Bacterial small subunit ribosomal RNA", at positions 28 to 507 of the family's 1533-position model. The record is from RNAcentral.